RNAcentral lists this ribosomal RNA (201 nucleotides) under uncultured bacterium. RNAcentral's name for it is "partial 16S ribosomal RNA". It matches the Rfam family "Bacterial small subunit ribosomal RNA", at positions 524 to 724 of the family's 1533-position model. The record is from RNAcentral.
UACGUAGGGUGCAAGCGUUAAUCGGAAUUACUGGGCGUAAAGCGUGCGCAGGCGGUUUUGUAAGUCUGUCGUGAAAUCCCCGGGCUCAACCUGGGAAUUGCGAUGGAGACUGCAAGGCUAGAAUCUGGCAGAGGGGGGUAGAAUUCCACGGGUAGCAGUGAGAUGCGUAGAGAUGUGGAGGAACACCGAUGGCGAAGGCAG